This 492-nucleotide long non-coding RNA is filed under the name Mytilus galloprovincialis (Mediterranean mussel). Lineage: Eukaryota; Metazoa; Mollusca; Bivalvia; Mytilida; Mytilidae. The record is from RNAcentral.
UUUUUCAAAUAAGCAGUAUAAAUAAAUUUUAACUUCAUUGCAAGAUCCGACAUUAUUUUACGAGAAUCAUCAUGCAUACAUUGCCAGCAUGUCAAAACUUCUAGGAAUAAUUGUUUAUCGGCCUAACCUUCUGAAUACUCAACUUUUGAAAUAUUUGAAAAAUUGACAUUAAAAUUAGAAGGAUCAUAUGAUAAGAAACACGUGGACUAAGUUUUAAGUUGGUAGGACUUCAACUUAAUUAAAAACCAGCUUGAUCAAAAACUUUAAUCUGAAGCGGACAACGACGCACAUACAGAAAAAAAACACAAUGCACCAUAAAUUGGGCAUGAAAAUAACUUUCACCUAUCUUAUUAACCUGUACACAAUCGGCGCAAACGAAAGAAAAAAUCUACGCAAGUGAAAGAAUAAAAAAAAUGAAAUGCAGAUCGGCACAAAUAUAAGACAAAAUCUACGCAUCUGAAAGAAUAAAGAAAAAUAUAUGUAGAUAGGCGC